Molecule: long non-coding RNA, 947 nt
Organism: Triplophysa dalaica
Lineage: Eukaryota; Metazoa; Chordata; Actinopteri; Cypriniformes; Nemacheilidae
Exons: 3
Source: RefSeq, a predicted model, not a curated record
AGAAGAUUGCGAUUGUGUGCAGUGCUGCACAUUAUUGCUAAUAUUAUUAAAAAUGAAGUUAAGUUUUAAGAAAAUAUCAAACGAUUCGUUUUACAAAACGUCAACAUGUCGCUAGGAGACGUUCAUGGCCUGAGGACUGGCUGAAGAAGAGAUUACUGGCUGCGAGAACAUUGUUUGAAGCUCCAGUUUGUACUUGAAGUGACCUGAAUGUCUCUUUUAACACCUUGGGGAAGAACAGAACAAGAAAAAAACUGAUUAACCAUCAUUUUCUGUUUGGGGCAUUAGAGACCUCGAGUAGACUACAACAGUUGUGUGUGGGAGGUGCAGAAAGCAUUAAAUCUAUCAGGGAAUGGAGUACAGCUGCACCUGCUUUCUCUUGGUUUUACUGGCUGUUCUAAAACCUAAAACUCCCACUUUCUCUCUGACAUUUCGACUUCAUUCACAAAACAUUUAGAAAACUCUCAGCAUUGUUUCACCCACACUCCCAACAUCUGUUGCAUGGGAUUUUUCUGGAAAGUCUCUGUUGUGAUUGACAGCGCUAUUUCCUCAAUCGCAGAAGCAUCCCCGAAAGAUGCUGUCUUAGUGCACAGACCUGUGGGCUAAAGUAUUGACAGAAUCAUCCAAUUGUUGCAGGUCAUCAAUCAGGCUUUGUCAGCAUUUUUAAAUUAUUUGCUAAAACGUGAUUCAACUCUCAGCAAGAAACAUUUUGGAAUAUCAUUUUUAAAACAUUGUUUGUUUGAAGGUUUUCCUCCUUGAAAAUAUUAGCUUGUUGAAUAGUUUUUUGUUUGGUUUAACCCAUUCUGUCAUGUUGGGGAUCAAGGCAACUUUGACAUCUUCUAAAAUUUAUAUUUAAACCUUUGAACAGCAGAACAAUACAGCAAUACAGACACGGCAGAAAAUACAUAUAUUUGAAAAUACAUAUUUUAUGUUUUCAGUUCAUUCUGUAU